RNAcentral lists this long non-coding RNA (209 nucleotides) under Rhinopithecus bieti (black snub-nosed monkey). RNAcentral's name for it is "lncRNA (ENSRBIG00000046261.1)". The record is from RNAcentral. Lineage: Eukaryota; Metazoa; Chordata; Mammalia; Primates; Cercopithecidae.
UACUUAUUCAGAUGCUCUUUUCAGAUGAAGGGACAAGGAUUAAAUCAUUUGAAAAAGGCCACAUGGUGCUAUUAUCCGAGCCAGGAUUGUAUUUUCAGAGAGUAUGAUCAUUAGCUCUGCUAAGUCCUGCUUCUCAAGUUCUUUCCUUCAGUGAGUGAGAACAUAUAUUGUCUUCUUAUCCAGGUAAGAGACAGAAACCUCCUAGACAC